UCCCCGUGACCGUGAAAUGCCCUUAACAUCAAUACAGAUCAAGAGGAGCAGGCAUUAAGCACACUAACUAGUAGCUCAGAUGUCUGCUAAACCACACCCCCAAGGAAACCAGCAGUGAUAAAAAUUUAGCAAUGAACGCAAGUUUGACUAAGUUAUGCUACUCUAGGGUUGGUAAAUCUCGUGCCAGCCACCGCGGUCAUACGAUUAACCCAAAUUAAUGAACAUACGGCGUAAAGCGUGAUUAGAAAUAUAACGUAAAAUAAAAUCAAAUAACAACUAAGCUGUAGAAAGUAAUAGUUGCAAAUAAAAAUAAACAACGAAAGUGAUUUUAUAGCCUUCGAACUCACGAUAGCUAAGACCCAAACUGGGAUUAGAUACCCCACUAUGCUUAGCCCUAAACUUAAAUAAUUCUUCAACAAAAUUACUCGCCAGAGAACUACAAGCCAGAGCUUGAAACUCAAAGGACUUGGCGGUGCUUUAUACCCACCUAGAGGAGCCUGUUCUAUAAUCGAUAAACCCCGAUAAACCUUACCACUCUUUGCCAACUCAGCCUAUAUACCGCCAUCUUCAGCGAACCCUAAAAAGGAAUAAAAGUAAGCUCAAUUACCCCCGUAAAAACGUUAGGUCAAGGUGUAGCCUAUAGAGUGGAAAGUAAUGGGCUACAUUUUCUUCUUCAGAACAUACGAAAGCCCUUAUGAAACCCUAAGGGCCAAAGGAGGAUUU
This 723-nucleotide ribosomal RNA is filed under the name Sylvilagus bachmani macrorhinus. Its description in RNAcentral is "partial 12S ribosomal RNA". It matches the Rfam family "Bacterial small subunit ribosomal RNA", at positions 265 to 1289 of the family's 1533-position model. The record is from RNAcentral. Lineage: Eukaryota; Metazoa; Chordata; Mammalia; Lagomorpha; Leporidae.